UACGUAGGGGGCAAGCGUUGUUCGGAAUUACUGGGCGUAAGGGGCGCGUAGGCGGAAGGCCAAGUCGGGGGGGAAAGCCCGGGGCUCAACCCCGGAAUGUCUUUCGAAACUGGCCAGCUGGGGUGCGGAAGAGGCAACUGGAAUUCCCAGUGUAGCGGUGAAAUGCGUAGAUAUUGGGAAGAACACCUGAGGCGAAGGCGGGUUGCUGGGCCGACACUGACGCUGAGGCGCGAAAGCCAGGGGAGCAAACGGG
This 253-nucleotide ribosomal RNA is filed under the name uncultured bacterium. RNAcentral describes it as "partial 16S ribosomal RNA". It matches the Rfam family "Bacterial small subunit ribosomal RNA", at positions 524 to 776 of the family's 1533-position model. The record is from RNAcentral.